This 253-nucleotide ribosomal RNA is filed under the name uncultured bacterium. Its description in RNAcentral is "partial 16S ribosomal RNA". It matches the Rfam family "Bacterial small subunit ribosomal RNA", at positions 524 to 776 of the family's 1533-position model. The record is from RNAcentral.
UACGGGGGGGGCAAGCGUUGUUCGGAAUUACUGGGCGUAAAGGGCUCGUAGGCGGCCAACUAAGUCAUACGUGAAAUCCCUCAGCUUAACUGGGGAACUGCGUGUGAUACUGGAUGGCUUGGAUUUGGGAGAGGGAUGCGGAAUUCCAGGUGUAGCGGUGAAAUGCGUAGAUAUCGAGAGGAACACCGGUGGCGAAGGCGGCCUUCUGGACAGUGACUGACGCUGAGACGCGAAAGCGUGGGGAGCAAACAGG